Molecule: ribosomal RNA, 497 nt
Filed under: uncultured bacterium
Lineage: Bacteria
Description: partial 16S ribosomal RNA
Rfam family: Bacterial small subunit ribosomal RNA
Source: RNAcentral
GAUGAACGCUGGCGGCGUGCCUAAUACAUGCAAGUCGAGCGAACGGACGAGAAGCUUGCUUCUCUGAUGUUAGCGGCGGACGGGUGAGUAACACGUGGAUAACCUACUUAUAAGACUGGGAUAACUUAGGGAAACCGGAGCUAAUACCGGAUAAAAUUUUGAACCGCAUGGUUCAAAAGUGAAAGACGGUCUUGCUGUCACUUAUAGAUGGAUCCGCGCUGGAUUAGCUAGUUGGUAAGGUAACGGCUUACCAAGGCAACGAUGCAUAGCCGACCUGAGAGGGUAGUCGGCCACACUGGAACUGAGACACGGUCCAGACUCCUACGGGACGCAGCAGCAGGGAAUCUUCCGCAAUGGGCAAAAGCCUGACGGAGCAACGCCGCGGGAGUGAUGAAGGUCUUCGGAUCGUGAAACUCUGUUAUUAGGGAAGAACAUAUGUGUAAGUAGCUGUGCACAUCUUGACGGUACCUAAUCAGAAAGCCACGGCUAACUACGUG